GGAGAGAUGCCCGAGAGGCCGAAGGGGCACGACUGGAAAUCGUGUGUGGAGUUAAAAGCUUCACCGUGGGUUCAAAUCCCACUCUCUCCGCCA
Molecule: transfer RNA, 93 nt
Filed under: Nitrospirota bacterium
Lineage: Bacteria; Pseudomonadati; Nitrospirota
Also listed under: 1 other name
Description: Nitrospirae bacterium (volcano metagenome) tRNA-Ser
Rfam family: tRNA
About the family: Transfer RNA (tRNA) molecules are approximately 80 nucleotides in length. Their secondary structure includes four short double-helical elements and three loops (D, anti-codon, and T loops).
Source: RNAcentral